This 740-nucleotide long non-coding RNA is filed under the name Homo sapiens (human). RNAcentral's name for it is "novel transcript". The record is from RNAcentral. Lineage: Eukaryota; Metazoa; Chordata; Mammalia; Primates; Hominidae.
ACACUGUCACUUUUUCAAGAGAGGAGAUAUUCGUGGUUUUGAGCAAUGGAGAGACGCUGGAGAAUAAUAUACUCAUUAUAUGGAAAAGGAAUACAGAGUUCCAUGCAGUCAUCUCAAAAUAUUUCCCUCCCACACCUGUGUUUAUAUAGGGACAUGAUAAGAGACCCCGAAACUGACUGUUUCAUCUUGUUGCACCUGGGAGAGUGCCUCUGCUGGGAUACUUUGAGUGUACAGUCACAUGUGGAGGUAGUGUAUUAGCUAAAUUCAUACUAACAUGUAAUCGAUUGAUAUAGCAUCCAGAGAAGCAUUCUGUGGCAAGGAAGUUUCAUGGGGCCAUCUUGAGAAAACUGAGCCCCUGAAAUAAGCAGAGGCUGGAGCAAGAGGAGGGAAAUGUGUCGACAGAGAUGGAGGGAAGAGCUUGUGGUAAAAAGGAAACUGAGGUGUAGACCAUUUCCACAACAGUCAAGUCCAUGUUGCAAGAUGACCGAUUACAAGGACCAGAUUCCAGGUCUCUCACUUCUCACCUCCCUUCUUAAAAUACCCAGCCUCACCUUCCGUAAACCGUUUGUCCAAAACAGCUCCUUGUCCCAAGGACCAAGUUUGACCAAAUCCUCUCCUAUUUAAGUAGAAGCAGAAAAGCACCAGCCCGAUGCCAACCUGUCUUCUUCAGCAGCAUUUCGGGCAAAUCCAUUUGCACAGUGAGUGGCGUUUCUUGUUUUGAUGUCUACUUAGCCCCCAAA